RNAcentral lists this unclassified non-coding RNA (201 nucleotides) under Hevea brasiliensis (rubber tree). Lineage: Eukaryota; Viridiplantae; Streptophyta; Magnoliopsida; Malpighiales; Euphorbiaceae. The record is from RNAcentral.
AAUUUCAAACAUAGUUGCAAAGAAUCCUUUCCAGACUCAUGGUGAAUAAACUCAGUCACAUAAAGUCAAAUUGAAAACCAUCUUCAAGAAGUUGACAUUUGUCUCAAUAAUGAAAAUAAUAUUGGAGUAGAUUUGAGAAACUGACAAUAUUGACUAUUAACAACAUGCCAAACUUUUCAAUAAAACAUUGAGAAGCAUAAG